This is a microRNA precursor of Cercocebus atys (sooty mangabey), 86 nucleotides long. Ensembl annotates it as microRNA 942. Its record names the gene MIR942. Lineage: Eukaryota; Metazoa; Chordata; Mammalia; Primates; Cercopithecidae. The record is from Ensembl.
AUUAAGAGAGUACCUUCUCUGUUUUGGCCAUGUGUGUACUCACAGCCCCUCACACAUGGCCGAAACAGAGAAGGUAGUUUCCUAAU